This 497-nucleotide ribosomal RNA is filed under the name uncultured bacterium. Its description in RNAcentral is "partial 16S ribosomal RNA". It matches the Rfam family "Bacterial small subunit ribosomal RNA", at positions 28 to 507 of the family's 1533-position model. The record is from RNAcentral.
GAUGAACGCUGGCGGCGUGCCUAAUACAUGCAAGUCGAGCGAACGGACGAGAAGCUUGCUUCUCUGAUGUUAGCGGCGGACGGGUGAGUAACACGUGGAUAACCUACCUAUAAGACUGGGAUAACUUCGGGAAACCGUAGCUUAUACCGGAUAAUAUUUUGAACCGCAUUGUUCAUAAGUGAAAGACGGUCUUGCUGUCACUUCUCGAUGGAUCCGCGCUGCAUUAGCUAGUUGGUAAGGUAACGGCUUACCAAGGCAACGAUGCAUAGCCGACCUGAGAGGGGGAUAGGCCACACUGGAGCGGAGACGCGGUCCAGACGCCUACGAGAGGCAGCAGUAGGGAAUCUUCCGCAAUGGGCGAAAGCAUGACGGAGCAACGCCGCGUGAGUGAUGAAGGUCUUCGGAGCGUGAAACUCUGUUAUUAGGGAAGAACAUAUGUGUAAGUAGCUGUGCACAUCUUGACGGUACCGAAUCAGAAAGCCACGGCUAACUACGUG